GUGGUCCUUACAAUCAGCUAGAGCAUGCUGUCCAUGGAGUUAAUGCAAUCUGCCUUCUCACUUACCAAGAAGAGCCCUUGUAGUCAACAGACUGAGUACACUGGCUGUUGGGGAAAAAAAUAGAGCCAUUCCAGGUGGUAGAAGUAAGAGUACUAUGGAGUACUAAGGAUUACUAUGCAGUCCUGGAUGGAAUUUCUUAAAACCCAACUACCAUUAGUAACUGCUCUGAAAUGGAAGACAGAAGAGUGUCUACUUGACCAUAAAAUUGAAACCAAGCUGAGCUACCCACAGACCACACAGGUGACAAUCACCAGGAAUGGCUUCUGGACAUUGUACCGCCACCAAGCCCAUGUUCAUGAAUCCACUGGCCUAAAUGACAUAAUUACAUUGGCGCUGUUUAAU
RNAcentral lists this long non-coding RNA (402 nucleotides) under Chinchilla lanigera (long-tailed chinchilla). RNAcentral describes it as "lncRNA (ENSCLAG00000029110.1)". Lineage: Eukaryota; Metazoa; Chordata; Mammalia; Rodentia; Chinchillidae. The record is from RNAcentral.